GACGAACGCUGGCGGCGUGCUUAACACAUGCAAGUCGAACGGAAAGGCCCUGCUUUUGUGGGGUGCUCGAGUGGCGAACGGGUGAGUAACACGUGAGUAACCUGCCCUUGACUUUGGGAUAACUUCAGGAAACUGGGGCUAAUACCGGAUAGGAGCUACUGCUGCAUGGUGGGGGUUGGAAAGUGUCGGCGGUUGGGGAUGUACUCGCGGCUUAUCAGCUUGUUGGUGGGGUAGUUGCUUACCAAGGCUUUGACGGGUAGCCGGCCUGAGAGGGUUGCCGGCCACAUUGGGACUGAGAUACGGCGCAGUAUCCUACGGGAGGCAGCAGUGGGAAAUAUUGCAGAAUGGGCGGAAGCCUGAUGCAGCAACGCCGCGUGCGGGAUGCCGGCCUUCGGGGUGUAAACCGAUUUCGACUGUGCCGAAGCGUGAGUGACGGUAAUGGGUAAAGAAGCACCGGCUAACUACGUG
RNAcentral lists this ribosomal RNA (468 nucleotides) under uncultured bacterium. RNAcentral describes it as "partial 16S ribosomal RNA". It matches the Rfam family "Bacterial small subunit ribosomal RNA", at positions 28 to 507 of the family's 1533-position model. The record is from RNAcentral.